CACGUAGGGGGCGAGCGUUGUCCGGAUUCAUUGGGCGUAAAGGGCGCGCAGGCGGCCCGGAAAGUCGGAUGUGAAAACUCGAGGCUCAACCUCGAGCGUGCACCCGAUACUGCCGGGCUUGAGGCAGGUAGGGGAGAUCGGAAUUCCUGGUGUAGCGGUGAAAUGCGCAGAUAUCAGGAGGAACACCGGUGGCGAAGGCGGAUCUCUGGGCCUGUCCUGACGCUGAGGCGCGAAAGCGUGGGUAGCAAACAGG
This 253-nucleotide ribosomal RNA is filed under the name uncultured bacterium. RNAcentral's name for it is "partial 16S ribosomal RNA". It matches the Rfam family "Bacterial small subunit ribosomal RNA", at positions 524 to 776 of the family's 1533-position model. The record is from RNAcentral.